UACGUAGGGCGCAAGCGUUGUCCGGAAUUAUUGGGCCUAAAGCAUCCGUAGCCGGUUCUACAAGUCUUCCGUUAAAUCCACCUGCUUAACAGAUGGGCUGCGGAAGAUACUAUAGAGCUAGGAGGCGGGAGAGGCAAGCGGUACUCGAUGGGUAGGGGUAAAAUCCGUUGAUCCAUUGAAGACCACCAGUGGCGAAGGCGGCUUGCCAGAACGCGCUCGACGGUGAGGGAUGAGAGCUGGGGGAGCAAACCGG
This 253-nucleotide ribosomal RNA is filed under the name uncultured bacterium. RNAcentral's name for it is "partial 16S ribosomal RNA". It matches the Rfam family "Bacterial small subunit ribosomal RNA", at positions 524 to 776 of the family's 1533-position model. The record is from RNAcentral.